RNAcentral lists this unclassified non-coding RNA (454 nucleotides) under uncultured fungus. RNAcentral's name for it is "partial contains small subunit ribosomal RNA, internal transcribed spacer 1, and 5.8S ribosomal RNA". The stretch from base 1 to 73 matches the Rfam family "Eukaryotic small subunit ribosomal RNA", at positions 1759 to 1831 of the family's 1831-position model. Lineage: Eukaryota; Fungi. The record is from RNAcentral.
ACAAACUUGGUCAUUUAGAGGAAGUAAAAGUCGUAACAAGGUCUCCGUAGGUGAACCUGCGGAGGGAUCAUUAAUCGACGAAGUGCGUAGCUAGACGCCCGGCCGUUCUCGACCCCCCGGCAACCCCGGGGGGGCGGCCGAUCAGCGUGCUCAGUUACCAGGCCACUCACCGGAGCGCGCCCCUGCGGGGGUAGCGUGGGGAGGGGAGAGCUCCCGCUAAGGUUGUAGCCGACCCCGUUUGUACCUGCGCCCGUGAUGGUCGGAUCUUCAUCAAAACCCUUUGUUGUCCGACUCUGUUGCCUCGGGGGCGACCCUGCCCUUCAUUGGGCUCGGGGGACCCCCGGUGGACAUUAACCAAACUCUUGCGUAUCUUUGUCGUCUGAGUGAUUUUAUAAAUCAAAUUAAAACUUUCAACAACGGAUCUCUUGGUUCUGGCAUCGAUGAAGAACGCAGC